RNAcentral lists this ribosomal RNA (471 nucleotides) under Peribacillus simplex. Its description in RNAcentral is "bacterial SSU rRNA". The record is from RNAcentral. Lineage: Bacteria; Bacillati; Bacillota; Bacilli; Caryophanales; Bacillaceae.
CNNUYSSGGGGGCSSUGCAGUAGGGAAUCUUCCGCAAUGGACGAAAGUCUGACGGAGCAACGCCGCGUGAACGAAGAAGGCCUUCGGGUCGUAAAGUUCUGUUGUUAGGGAAGAACAAGUACCAGAGUAACUGCUGGUACCUUGACGGUACCUAACCAGAAAGCCACGGCUAACUACGUGCCAGCAGCCGCGGUAAUACGUAGGUGGCAAGCGUUGUCCGGAAUUAUUGGGCGUAAAGCGCGCGCAGGUGGUUCCUUAAGUCUGAUGUGAAAGCCCACGGCUCAACCGUGGAGGGUCAUUGGAAACUGGGGAACUUGAGUGCAGAAGAGGAAAGUGGAAUUCCAAGUGUAGCGGUGAAAUGCGUAGAGAUUUGGAGGAACACCAGUGGCGAAGGCGACUUUCUGGUCUGUAACUGACACUGAGGCGCGAAAGCGUGGGGAGCAAACAGGAUUAGAUACCCCUGGUAGUCAA